AGUGAACGCUGGCGGUAGGCCUAACACAUGCAAGUCGAACGGCAGCACAGGAGAGCUUGCUCUCUGGGUGGCGAGUGGCAGACGGGUGAGGAAUACAUCGGAAUCUACUCUGUCGUGAGGGAUAACGUAGGGAAACUUACGCUAAUACCGCAUACGACCUACGGGUGAAAGCAGGGGACCUUCGGGCCUUGCGCGAUUGAAUGAGCCGAUGUCGGAUUAGCUAGUUGGCGGGGUAAAGGCCCACCAAGGCGACGAUCCGUAGCUGGUCUGAGAGGAUGAUCAGCCACACUGGAACUGAGACACGGUCCAGACUCCUACGGGAGGCAGCAGUGGGGAAUAUUGGACAAUGGGCGCAAGCCUGAUCCAGCCAUACCGCGUGGGUGAAGAAGGCCUUCGGGUUGUAAGGCCCUUUUGUUGGGAAAGAAAUCCAGCUGGCUAAUACCUGGUUGGGAUGACGGUACCCAAAGAAUAAGCACCGGCUAACUUCGUGCCAGCAGCCGCCGUAA
RNAcentral lists this ribosomal RNA (506 nucleotides) under uncultured bacterium. RNAcentral describes it as "partial 16S ribosomal RNA". It matches the Rfam family "Bacterial small subunit ribosomal RNA", at positions 29 to 523 of the family's 1533-position model. The record is from RNAcentral.